UCUGGUUGAUCCUGCCAGAGGUCACUGCUAUCGGGGUUCGAUUAAGCCAUGCGAGUCGAGAGGGUUCGGCCCUCGGCGUACUGCUCAGUAACACGUGGAUAACCUGCCCUAGGGAAGGGGAUAACCCCGGGAAACUGGGGAUAAUACCCUAUAGAUUACAGAUGCUGGAAUGCCCUGUAAUCCAAAGUUCCGACGCCCUAGGAUGGAUCUGCGGCCGAUUAGGUUGUUGUUGGGGUAAUGGCCCAACAAGCCCGUAAUCGGUACGGGUUGUGGGAGCAAGAGCCCGGAGUUGGAUUCUGAGACACGAAUCCAGGCCCUACGGGGCGCAGCAGGCGCGAAAACUUUACAAUGCGGGCAACCGUGAUAAGGGAACCUCGAGUGCCUGUAAAUGCAGGCUGUUCAGGUGCCUAAAACACAUCUGGAGAAAGGGCCGGGCAAGACCGGUGCCAGCCGCCGCGGUAAUACCGGCGGCUCGAGUGGUGGCCGCUUUUAUUGGGCUUAAAGCGUUCGUAGCUGGGUUGUUAAGUCUCUUGGGAAAUCUGGCGGCUUAACCGUCAGGCGUCUAAGGGAUACUGGCAAUCUUGGAACCGGGAGAGGUGAGGGGUACUUCGGGGGUAGGAGUGAAAUCCUGUAAUCCUCGAGGGACCACCUGUGGCGAAGGCGCCUCACCAGAACGGCUUCGACAGUGAGGGACGAAAGCUGGGGGAGCAAACCGGAUUAGAUACCCGGGUAGUCCCAGCCGUAAACUAUGCGCGUUAGGUGUAUCGGUGACCACGAGUUACCGAGGUGCCGAAGGGAAACCGUGAAACGUGCCGCCUGGGAAGUACGGUCGCAAGGCUGAAACUUAAAGGAAUUGGCGGGGGAGCACAACAACGGGUGGAGCCUGCGGUUUAAUUGGACUCAACGCCGGACAACUCACCGGGAACGACAGCAAUAUGUAGGCCAGGCUGAAGACCUUGCCUGAAUCGCUGAGAGGAGGUGCAUGGCCGUCGCCAGUUCGUACUGUGAAGCAUCCUGUUAAGUCAGGCAACGAGCGAGACCC
RNAcentral lists this ribosomal RNA (1042 nucleotides) under uncultured euryarchaeote. Its description in RNAcentral is "bacterial SSU rRNA". It matches the Rfam family "Archaeal small subunit ribosomal RNA", at positions 1 to 1053 of the family's 1478-position model. The record is from RNAcentral. Lineage: Archaea; Methanobacteriati; Methanobacteriota.